UACGUAGGGGGCAAGCGUUGUCCGGAAUCAUUGGGCGGAAAGCGCGUGUAGGCGGUUCGAUAAGUCUGCUGUGAAAGUCCAGGGCUCAACCCUGGAAAGCCGGUGGAUACUGUCGGACUAGAGUGCGGAAGAGGCGAGUGGAAUUCCCGGUGUAGCGGUGAAAUGCGCAGAUAUCGGGAGGAACACCAAUUGCGAAGGCAGCUCGCUGGGACGUUGCUGACGCUGAGACGCGAAAGCGUGGGGAGCAAACAGG
This 253-nucleotide ribosomal RNA is filed under the name uncultured bacterium. RNAcentral's name for it is "partial 16S ribosomal RNA". It matches the Rfam family "Bacterial small subunit ribosomal RNA", at positions 524 to 776 of the family's 1533-position model. The record is from RNAcentral.